AAAGCGUGGGGAGCAAAAAGGAUUAGAUACCCUUGUAGUCCACGCCCUAAACUAUGCCGGCUAGCCGUUUCGAGUAUCGACCCUCGGAGUGGCGCAGCUAACGCGUUAAGCCGGCCGCCUGGGAAGUACGAGCGCAAGCUUAAAACUCAAAGGAAUAGACGGGGGUUCGCACAAGCAGUGGAGCAUGAGGUUUAAUUCGAUAACAAGCGAGAAACCUUACCAGGGUUUGAAACUGAGACGAAAGUCCGACGAAAGUUGGACCCUUUGCUAUAAGUAAACGGCUCAGCAGGUGCUGCACGGUUGCCGUCAGCUCGUGUCUUGAGAUGUACCCUUAAGUGGGGAAACGAGCGCAACCCUUACCAGUAGUUACAAGUGUCUACUGGGACUGCCCGUCACAGAUGGGAGGAAGGAGAGGAUGACGUCAAAUCAGCGUGGCCUUUUGAUACCCUGGGCAACACUCAUGCUACAAUGGUCGGUACAACGGGUUUGCAAAGUCGUAAGGCGGAGCUAAUCUCUAAAAACCGGCCCCAGUUCGGAUUGAGGGCUGCAACUCGCCCUCAUGAAGCCGGAAUUGCUAGUAAUCGCGGAUCAGCACGCCGCGGUGAAUACGUUAUCGAACCUUGUACUCACCGCCCGUCACGUCAAGGGAGCCGGGAAUACCUGAAACUCGCUUUUGGCGAACUAGGGUAAGUUCGGUGACAUGGACGAAGUCGUAACAAGGCACGUGUAGCGGAAGCUGUGCGUGGAUCAAUUAAACU
RNAcentral lists this ribosomal RNA (758 nucleotides) under bacterium. Its description in RNAcentral is "bacterial SSU rRNA". It matches the Rfam family "Bacterial small subunit ribosomal RNA", at positions 756 to 1533 of the family's 1533-position model. The record is from RNAcentral.